RNAcentral lists this ribosomal RNA (428 nucleotides) under uncultured bacterium. RNAcentral's name for it is "bacterial SSU rRNA". It matches the Rfam family "Bacterial small subunit ribosomal RNA", at positions 354 to 796 of the family's 1533-position model. The record is from RNAcentral.
GUGGGGAAUAUUGCACAAUGGGGGAAACCCUGAUGCAGCAACGCCGCGUGAAGGAAGAAGGUUUUCGGAUCGUAAACUUCUAUCAAUAGGGACGAAUAAAUGACGGUACCUAAAUAAGAAGCCCCGGCUAACUACGUGCCAGCAGCCGCGGUAAUACGUAGGGGGCAAGCGUUAUCCGGAAUUACUGGGUGUAAAGGGAGCGUAGGCGGCAUGGUAAGUAAGAUGUGAAAGCCCGAGGCUUAACCUCGAGGAUUGCAUUUUAAACUAUCAAGCUAGAGUACAGGAGAGGAAAGCGGAAUUCCUAGUGUAGCGGUGAAAUGCGUAGAUAUUAGGAAGAACACCAGUGGCGAAGGCGGCUUUCUGGACUGAAACUGACGCUGAGGCUCGAAAGCGUGGGGAGCGAACAGGAUUAGAAACCCGUGUAGUCC